This 236-nucleotide ribosomal RNA is filed under the name uncultured bacterium. RNAcentral describes it as "partial 16S ribosomal RNA". It matches the Rfam family "Bacterial small subunit ribosomal RNA", at positions 524 to 759 of the family's 1533-position model. The record is from RNAcentral.
UACAGAGGGUGCGAGCGUUGUCCGGAAUCACUGGGCGUAAAGGCGCGUAGGCGGCGUUUUAAGUCGGGGGUGAAAGCCUGUGGCUCAACCACAGAAUGGCCUUCGAUACUGGGACGCUUGAGUAUGGUAGAGGUUGGUGGAACUGCGAGUGUAGAGGUGAAAAUUCGUAGAUAUUCGCAAGAACACCGGUGGCGAAGGCGGCCAACUGGACCAUUACUGACGCUGAGGCGCGAAAG